CGAAGGGUGCAAGCGUUACUCGGAAUUACUGGGCGUAAAGCGUGCGUAGGUGGUUUGUUAAGUCUGAUGUGAAAGCCCUGGGCUCAACCUGGGAAUUGCAUUGGAUACUGGCAGGCUAGAGUGCGGUAGAGGAUGGCGGAAUUCCUGGUGUAGCAGUGAAAUGCGUAGAGAUCAGGAGGAACAUCCGUGGCGAAGGCGGCCAUCUGGACCAGCACUGACACUGAGGCACGAAAGCGUGGGAGCAAACAGGAUU
RNAcentral lists this ribosomal RNA (253 nucleotides) under uncultured bacterium. RNAcentral's name for it is "partial 16S ribosomal RNA". It matches the Rfam family "Bacterial small subunit ribosomal RNA", at positions 526 to 779 of the family's 1533-position model. The record is from RNAcentral.